AUCUUUGCUCUUGGGGAAAUGACGCACUUAGUGAGAUGAAACCGAUACGCGUCAAUUGCUGGUUGAAAACUAUUUCCAUUUCAUUAAUAAAUAAUGAAUACCAUUAUCAAUGG
RNAcentral lists this small nuclear RNA (113 nucleotides) under Marchantia polymorpha subsp. ruderalis. RNAcentral's name for it is "U4 spliceosomal RNA". It matches the Rfam family "U4 spliceosomal RNA". From Rfam's summary of the family: U4 small nuclear RNA (U4 snRNA) is a component of the major U2-dependent spliceosome. The structure of U4 snRNA from yeast and human has been reported. Lineage: Eukaryota; Viridiplantae; Streptophyta; Marchantiopsida; Marchantiales; Marchantiaceae. The record is from Rfam by way of RNAcentral.